Gymnogyps californianus (California condor) is the source of this 514-nucleotide long non-coding RNA. RefSeq lists it as uncharacterized. The transcript has 4 exons. Lineage: Eukaryota; Metazoa; Chordata; Aves; Accipitriformes; Cathartidae. The record is from RefSeq and is a predicted model, not a curated record.
GGAGGUUGAAGCACUCCUGCUACUGGAAAGGUUCAUAUGGCUCUAGCAGCCAUGUAAGUUUUCUUUGUGCUGUUCUCCAUCUCUCUUCUUGAAGGAAGCAUCUAAGAGCAGGAUAGGCAGGCAGUCUCUGGAAAUGCAAAUAUGCGGUUUGGUGCAGCAUGGGCUUGCAAGGAGGAGGAAGAGAUGCGUAGGAGGGCUUUUUACUACUGCUUGAUUUCAUGCUGCCGAUGGUAAUUAGCAGAGGAAGGUCUCAGGUUCAAAUUUAGCCCAGGGUGUUUGCUGGAUACUGUUGGAUGUUGGAUUUCAUAUUACAGUAGCAAUGAGAGACCCUAUCCGGGAUGAGGACACAAGGUGUGGUUCUCAUGGCUGGAGACUUGCACCCACCCUCUGACUUUUCCUGCUCCUCCUCAGCAGCUCCAGUCAGGCAUUAGCUGGGCUGACCUGAAAGGCCACGGUUGUUCUCCUCGGCUUAGAUUGGGUCCCCAGUCUCUAACACCAAGCACUGUGAUCAGGU